UUGCUUCUGCAGCAAAUUUACUAAAAUUGGAACAAUACAGAAAUUAGCAUGGCCCAUGCAAGGAUGACACUCACAUUUGGGAAGCAUUCCAUGUUUUU
RNAcentral lists this small nuclear RNA (98 nucleotides) under Sciurus vulgaris (Eurasian red squirrel). Lineage: Eukaryota; Metazoa; Chordata; Mammalia; Rodentia; Sciuridae. The record is from RNAcentral.